AGAAGAGGAACGAUUUUGAUAUACAUAUGGCCAUCUAACUGCUACAUAUGGCCAUCUAACUGCUACAUACGGCCAACAAACUGCUAUUUAUUGCCGUCUAACUGCUACAGGGAGGCGGCUGCCUACCUACAGACUUGAUAUCAUUGGCCACUUUAAUAAAUGGAACACUAGUCACUUUAAUAAUGCAACUUCAAGAAUGUUUACAUAUCUCGCAUUACUCAUCUCAUAUGUAUAUAAUGUAUACUGUAUCCUUCACUAUCUAUUCUUUAUGAUCUAUUGGAUCUUAGCAGCUCGGUCACUGCUCAUCCAUAUAUUAUAUACCUAUAUAUUCUUAUCCCAUCCCUUUACUAGAUUGUGUGUAUUACGUUUCGUUGUGGAAUUCGUUAAAUAUUAGGUUUUGUUGUGUAAUUUGUUAAAUAUUAGGUUUUGUUGUGUAAUUUGUUAGAUAUUAGGUUUUGUUGUGUAAUUUGUUAGAUAUUAGGUUUUGUUGUGUUAUUUGUUAGAUAUUAGGUUUUGUUGUGGAAUUGUUAGAUAUUAGGUUUUGUUGUGGAAUUGUUAGAUAUUAGGUUUUGUUGUGGAAUUGUUAGAUAUUAGGUUUUGUUGUGGAAUUUGUUAGAUAUUAGGUUUUGUUGUGUUAUUUGUUAGAUAUUAGGUUUUGUUGUGGAAUUGUUAGAUAUUAGGUUUUGUUGUGGAAUUGUUAGAUAUUAGGUUUUGUUGUGGAAUUGUUAGAUAUUAGGUUUUGUUGUGGAAUUGUUAGAUAUUAGGUUUUGUUGUGGAAUUGUUAGAUAUUAGGUUUUGUUGUGGAAUUGUUAGAUAUUAGGUUUUGUUGUGUUAUUUGUUAGAUAUUAGGUUUUGUUGUGUUAUUUGUUAGAUAUUAGGUUUUGUUGUGGAAUUGUUAGAUAUUAGGUUUUGUUGUGUUAUUUGUUAGAUAUUAGGUUUUGUUGUGUUAUUUGUUAGAUAUUAGGUUUUGUUGUGUUAUUUGUUAGAUAUUAGGUUUUGUUGUGUUAUUUGUUAGAUAUUACCUCUUAGACACUGCUGCACUGUCGGAUCUAGAAACAUAAGCAUUUCGAAACUCUCGCAAUAACAUCUGCUUACUAUGUGUAUGUGACCAAUACAAUUUGAUUUGAUUAUAUGUUGUCUAAUUUAAACCUGCUUUAUCUGUCUUCAACCUUAUCUAUCUCCAACCAUCACCACUAGGUGGAGGCAUCACUUCUUCCUAGAUGUACCCACCACUGCUCUCUAUGAUUCAGCACUAACAACAAGCUAAAGCCUUGACAAGCUGCCUCCCAAAGAAAGGGGGAGAGAAAAAGAGGAAGAGUGAGAGAAAGAGUUAGAGAGAGGGGAUUUUUAUGUGUGCAAACCCACAACUGUUCUUUGGUUAAAUCUGACUGCCCUUACGGCAGUGUUGCUAAAGUGAACACAACAUCCCUCUGUCAUCACACCACCCACUGUUUUCUACAGCAAAAAAACUCUCUCUCCUCCUUUCUCUCUGUCUCUAACUUGCUCCACACCUUCUGAUAUUUCAGGAAGUGAGAUGGGUGGGAGAGAGCACAGUUACUGUGUGAGGGCAUAUUCCCGAUGCUGCGAGUGUAUGUCUGUAUGUGUGUGGGAGGGGGGUUUCUCUUGAGAUCAGUGAACAGAAAGGCCCCUGAGCUCAGAGAGUAAUUAAUGGAGAAUGACACUGUGCGUGGGAGAGAGCACAGGCAGGGAGCCUGAAACACACACGCAAACACACAUUGCAGAGGCAUAAUCCUGAAAGUUUUUAAACUGAAGGCUGCAGAGAGUGAGUCGAUUUAGGGACAGAAAGUGUUGACGUGGGUAGAAUUGGAGAACAGAGAGAGAUAGCAGAAAGAAGGACAAAAUAAAGACAGCAGGAUG
Molecule: long non-coding RNA, 1878 nt
Organism: Oncorhynchus keta (chum salmon)
Lineage: Eukaryota; Metazoa; Chordata; Actinopteri; Salmoniformes; Salmonidae
Exons: 3
Source: RefSeq, a predicted model, not a curated record